This 1172-nucleotide long non-coding RNA is filed under the name Takifugu rubripes (torafugu). Its description in RNAcentral is "lncRNA (ENSTRUG00000033312.1)". Lineage: Eukaryota; Metazoa; Chordata; Actinopteri; Tetraodontiformes; Tetraodontidae. The record is from RNAcentral.
GAAAGUUUUGUUUCUUUAAUGCUGCUGCAAAGUUGGUGUUUUGUGUACACUUUGACAUUUCUCCUCUGUCCUUCUCCAGAAGGAGGGACAACCUCUUUGGACCGAUGGUUCAGUACAUAACCUGACAAACAAUGUGAUGUCAUUGCUGCCAGCCAAUCAGACAGACUGUUUUGCCCUGCAGAGGAAUGCCACAGGGCCUGGAUAUUUUCUUACCCCUUUCUUCUGCAACAUUGCCUUACCCUUCAUCUGCCAGUAUCAGGGUAAAUUUUAACUUUUAAUUAUCAUUAAUUAGUGUGUGCCUUUUAAAAUGUGUGUUUCACAAUCCUAUUACCAUCUGUGAUUUUGUCAAGCACAGGCAAAUGUGUUGAAAUCCUUUUUCUUAUGUUCUCACAAUGGUUUUCUUCCUUCACAGUCCCCCUUCUCCCUCCCUCAUUCUCUUUUGACCUGGUUCAGGUCGCGGAACAACAGGUAGAGCUUUGUUGGAGCGACCUCUUGGCCUUGAUCUCCCUCAAUAUUUCAUCUUUUGAAGUAUUCCUCCAGUAUCGGGAGGAGACAAAUGGCGAACUCUUUCGCGGUGAACGCAUAGAGGGGAGAUUAGCUUAUCGAACAGAAAGCCGGAGCGUUGCCAAGAAAGUUGUUGAGGUUCCCAUUUCGCUGUCCUCCAGAGGGGUAACUGUGGCAGGUUUGUCUCCAGGAAGCGUUUACUCCUUCACCCUUCGAGCUGCUCAUUCUGACGGGUCGAGCUGGACUUUGGGACAAACACAGACUGCAUACACCAGACCUCCUUCUCCUCAAAAUAUCACUGUCAGUGCUGUAACUACUGAUCAGAUCCAAGUCCACUGGACACUUCCAGUCGCUCUUUUUGAUGUUGGAUGGACAUUUCUUGUACGCUAUAUGGACAUGUCCAAUGACCAAAACAGGACUGUUGGAAUGUCUAAAAUCUCCAGGAUAUCUGAGACCAAUCCGCUGCGCUCAUACACUGCUGCGAUUGGCGGGCUGGAGUCUCACAGGAAGUACAGGAUUGAGGUCUCCACAGUCACCAAACAUGGGAUAGAGAGCUGUGAGCAGGCGGCUGUGGUUGUGCAGACUGGUAAGCAUGUGGCCCAGGAGGAACAACACGCUUCACUGUUAGUGACUCUUAUACACUGAUGCCUGAUAGUUAGAAUGAUGAA